This 303-nucleotide ribosomal RNA is filed under the name uncultured bacterium. RNAcentral's name for it is "partial 16S ribosomal RNA". It matches the Rfam family "Bacterial small subunit ribosomal RNA", at positions 507 to 807 of the family's 1533-position model. The record is from RNAcentral.
AGCAGUCGCCGCGGUAAUACGAAGGGUGCAAGCGUUACUCGGAAUUACUGGGCGUAAAGCGUGCGUAGGUGGUGGUUUAAGUCCGUUGUGAAAGCCCUGGGCUCAACCUGGGAAUUGCAGUGGAUACUGGGUCACUAGAGUGUGGUAGAGGAUAGUGGAAUUUCCGGUGUAGCAGUGAAAUGCGUAGAGAUCGGAAGGAACAUCUGUGGCGAAGGCGACUAUCUGGGCCAACACUGACACUGAGGCACGAAGGCGUGGGGAGCAAACAGGAUUAGAUACCCCUGUAGUCCCUGUCUCUUAUAC